RNAcentral lists this ribosomal RNA (492 nucleotides) under uncultured bacterium. RNAcentral's name for it is "partial 16S ribosomal RNA". It matches the Rfam family "Bacterial small subunit ribosomal RNA", at positions 29 to 507 of the family's 1533-position model. The record is from RNAcentral.
AGUGAACGCUGGCGGUAGGCCUAACACAUGCAAGUCGAACGGCAGCACAGUAAGAGCUUGCUCUUACGGGUGGCGAGUGGCGGACGGGUGAGGAAUACAUCGGAAUCUACUUUUUCGUGGGGGAUAACGUAGGGAAACUUAUGCUAAUACCGCAUACGACCUACGGGUGAAAGCAGGGGAUCUUCGGACCUUGCGCGAUUGAAUGAGCCGAUGUCGGAUUAGCUAGUUGGCGGGGUAAAGGCCCACCAAGGCGACGAUCCGUAGCUGGUCUGAGAGGAUGAUCAGCCACACUGGAACUGAGACACGGUCCAGACUCCUACGGUAGGCAGCAGUGGGGAAUAUUGGACAAUGGGCGCAAGCCUGAUCCAGCCAUACCGCGUGGGUGAAGAAGGCCUUCGGGUUGUAAAGCCCUUUUGUUGGGAAAGAAAAGCAGCAGGUUAAUACCCCGCUGUUCUGACGGUACCCAAAGAAUAAGCACCGGCUAACUUCGUG